RNAcentral lists this small nuclear RNA (142 nucleotides) under Fusarium vanettenii 77-13-4. RNAcentral's name for it is "U4 spliceosomal RNA". It matches the Rfam family "U4 spliceosomal RNA". Rfam says of the family: U4 small nuclear RNA (U4 snRNA) is a component of the major U2-dependent spliceosome. The structure of U4 snRNA from yeast and human has been reported. U4 snRNA presents a k-turn RNA motif in the 5p-SL related to recognition of Snu13 protein. The record is from Rfam by way of RNAcentral. Lineage: Eukaryota; Fungi; Ascomycota; Sordariomycetes; Hypocreales; Nectriaceae.
AUCCAAGUGCAAGGGCAUUCACCUACCCUAUGAGGUUGACACUGAGGGAGGCAUUGCUGGAGGGAGUUCUACUCUCGACCAUUGCUCCUCAUCGGGUUCGCCUGGUGAGGGAAUUUUUGAAUCGUGCUUUGUUUCAUUGCGU